CACGUAAGGGGCGAGCGUUGUUCGGAUUUAUUGGGCGUAAAGGGCGUGUAGGCGGUGAGAUAAGUCUGGUGUGAAAGAUCCCGGCUCAACCGGGAGAGCGCGCUGGAAACUGUCUUACUUGAGUGAUGGAGGGGGAGCUGGAAUUCCUGGUGUAGGGGUGAAAUCUGUAGAGAUCAGGAAGAACACCGGAGGCGAAGGCGAGCUCCUGGCCAUUUACUGACGCUGAGGCGCGAAAGCGUGGGGAGCGAACAGGAUUAGAUACCCUGGUAGUCCACGCUGUAAACGAUGUGCACUGGGUGUUGGACCUGAGAGGUUCAGUGCCGUAGCAAACGCGUUAAGUGCACCGCCUGGGGAGUAUGCUCGCAAGGGUGAA
This 373-nucleotide ribosomal RNA is filed under the name uncultured bacterium. Its description in RNAcentral is "bacterial SSU rRNA". It matches the Rfam family "Bacterial small subunit ribosomal RNA", at positions 524 to 898 of the family's 1533-position model. The record is from RNAcentral.